This 506-nucleotide ribosomal RNA is filed under the name uncultured bacterium. Its description in RNAcentral is "partial 16S ribosomal RNA". It matches the Rfam family "Bacterial small subunit ribosomal RNA", at positions 28 to 523 of the family's 1533-position model. The record is from RNAcentral.
GAUGAACGCUAGCUACAGGCUUAACACAUGCAAGUCGAGGGGUAACGAGAGGAAAGCUUGCUUUCCUUGUCGACGACCGGCGCACGGGGGAGUAACGCGUAUCCAACCUGCCCCCAACUAGGGAAUAACCUUGCGAAAGUAAGACUAAUACCCUACAAUAUCAUCAGAUGUCAUCUGACGAGGAAUAAAGCUUUAUCGGUUGUGUAUGGGGAUGCGUCUGAUUAGCUUGUUGGCGGGGUAACGGCCCACCAAGGCAACGAUCAGUAGGGGUUCUGAGAGGAAGGUCCCCCACAUUGGAACUGAGACACGGUCCAAACUCCUACGGGAGGCAGCAGUGAGGAAUCUUGGUCAAUGGGCGGAAGCCUGAACCAGCCAAGUAGCGUGCAGGAUGACGGCCCUAUGGGUUGUAAACUGCUUUUAUACAGGAAUAAAGUUAGCCACGUGUGGUUAUUUGUAGGUACUGUAUGAAUAAGGACCGGCUAAUUCCGUGCCAGCCGCCGCAGUAA